RNAcentral lists this small nuclear RNA (131 nucleotides) under Echinops telfairi (small Madagascar hedgehog). RNAcentral's name for it is "U4 spliceosomal RNA (ENSETEG00000024213.1)". It matches the Rfam family "U4 spliceosomal RNA". From Rfam's summary of the family: U4 small nuclear RNA (U4 snRNA) is a component of the major U2-dependent spliceosome. The structure of U4 snRNA from yeast and human has been reported. The record is from RNAcentral. Lineage: Eukaryota; Metazoa; Chordata; Mammalia; Afrosoricida; Tenrecidae.
AGCUUUGCACAGUGGCAAUAUUGUAGCCAGUGCGGUUUAUCCGAGGCACGAUUAUUGCUAAUUGAGAAAAAAAAUUUGUGAGAGCCCCCUAAUAAAAUGAACUUAAAAAAACAUUUUAACUAUGUGAAUAG